RNAcentral lists this ribosomal RNA (497 nucleotides) under uncultured bacterium. RNAcentral describes it as "partial 16S ribosomal RNA". It matches the Rfam family "Bacterial small subunit ribosomal RNA", at positions 28 to 507 of the family's 1533-position model. The record is from RNAcentral.
GAUGAACGCUGGCGGCGUGCCUAAUACAUGCAAGUCGAGCGAACAGACGAGGAGCUUGCUCCUUCGACGUUAGCGGCGGACGGGUGAGUAACACGUAGGUAACCUACCUAUAAGACUGGGAUAACUUCGGGAAACCGGAGCUAAUACCGGAUAAUAUUUCGAACCGCAUGGUUCGAUAGUGAAAGAUGGCUUUGCUAUCACUUAUAGAUGGACCUGCGCCGUAUUAGCUAGUUGGUAAGGUAACGGCUUACCAAGGCAACGAUACGUAGCCGACCUGAGAGGGUUGUCGGCCACACUGGACCUGAGACAAGGUACAGACUCCAACGGGAGGCAGCAGUAGGGAAUCUUCCGCAAUGGGCGGAAGCCUGACGGAGCAAAGCCGCGUGAGUGAUAAAGGUCUUGGGAUAGGAAAACUAUGUUAUUAGGGAAGAACAAAAGUGUAAGUAACUGUGCACGUCUUGACGGUACCUAAUCAGAAAGCCACGGCUAACUACGUG